UGUUUAUUUGCCACAAGAAAAAAGAUGUGGUAGAUUCAUUUAGGCAAAAGAAGGUGAAGCUAAACUAGAAAAAAUUGAUGUACUUAUUGGUGAAGUUCGUCGUUUAUCUUUGGAAGUGAAGAAAUCUAAUAAUAUUCUUGAAGCAAUUCAGAAAAAUACUAAGAGGAGCGACCAAUAUGACAUUAAGACGGUCAUAUUCCUUCUACUUUUAUUAUUUAUUUUCUUUAAAAUGUUAGCCUAGUAAUGUAGUCAAGUAAGAUAUAUGUAUGUUCGGUUGGUAAACUAAUCACGUAGUAAAUUCUACCUUAUGCUUGUGAAGCACCAUAUGUAUCCUAUUAAGCUCGCUGUAUGUUUUGUUGAAAUUGUCUGUUAUAAUUAACUAUGCAAUAUGAUGUGUCAAGUAUGUUGAACUGUUUGGUGAAUUGAUUUGCAUUUUAUUCCCUUUAUAUUGCUGAUGUGGUUCACAUAAUUGUAGCCUUUUGGUGUGGGUUGCAUGCUUUCAUUGAUGAUUUUUAUAGGUUCCUGUUUCAAAUGUAUUCAUUAUCAGUACUGGUAUUAACCCUAAAGCCAAAUCAUAUUACCUUUUUGAUGGCUAUGCACAUCUCUUUUCUGGGCUUGCUUGUGGUCUUGCUGGGCUUGCGGCUGGAAUGGCAAUUGGUAUAGUUGGUGACGCUGGUGUCAGGGCAAUGGCAGGUCAUGCUUAAAGAAGCAGAUGGCUCUUAUGCCAGUGUUUGUGCAAGCUGACACUUAUAGAAUGGUUUCAAUCCUUCGGAGCAAAAUCCAUAAGCUAUGAUGUAGACCAUUUUGAAGUGCAGAUUGAUUGAUUUGGAGAAAAGGUGCUAUGAACCAUCCGGUGCUUGAGCUCAUUGCAAGCUUUAGCCUUCAUACUAGUGACAAUGUGACUGUUGAAGCAAGUUUGUUGUUGAAUUGUACCAUGAACUCGUUUUAAAUGUACCAGAAAAGUUAAUGUUGACAAAUGUUGCCAAAUGAAUGUAUAGGUUCCUGUUGUAGCUCACUACCUUUGAAAGUGUAACUUGGAUGUUUGUGUUGUGAACAAAUUACUAAAAGUUAAGUUCUAUAAAUUCUUUUCCAAUCGUAUUCUUUUUGUU
This is a long non-coding RNA of Ziziphus jujuba (common jujube), 1109 nucleotides long. RefSeq lists it as uncharacterized. Lineage: Eukaryota; Viridiplantae; Streptophyta; Magnoliopsida; Rosales; Rhamnaceae. The transcript has 3 exons. The record is from RefSeq and is a predicted model, not a curated record.